GAUUAAUGCUGGUGGUAUGCAUAACACAUGCAAGUCGAACGAAGAGGGUUUACUCUCUUAGUGGCAAACGGGCGAGUAACACAUAUUUAACUUACCUGCACGAGGAGAAUAGCAACUCGAAAGAGUUAUUAAUACUCCAUAGGUUUGAGACUCAAAUUAAAGGAGCGAGCUGGGAAACCAGUGCUUCGCGAGCAGAGAGGAGUAUGUCCUAUUAGGUUGUUGGUGGGGUAAAAGCCUACCAAGCCGAUGAUGGGUAGCUGGACUGAGAGGUCGACCAGCCGCAAUGGGAUUGAAAUACGGCCCAUAUUCCUACGGGAAGCAGCAGUGAGGAAUUUUUCACAAUGGACGAAAGUCUGAUGGAGCAAUACCAUGUGAACGAUGAAGGUCUUCUGAUUGUAAAGUUCUUUUAUUUAGGAAAAAAAGCUUGAGAGGAAAUGAUUAAGCCUUGAUUGUACUAAAUGAAUAAGUGACAGCUAACUAUGUGCCAGCAGCUGCGGUAAAACAUAGGUCACGAGCAUUA
RNAcentral lists this ribosomal RNA (520 nucleotides) under Candidatus Mycoplasma haematominutum. Its description in RNAcentral is "bacterial SSU rRNA". It matches the Rfam family "Bacterial small subunit ribosomal RNA", at positions 28 to 543 of the family's 1533-position model. Lineage: Bacteria; Bacillati; Mycoplasmatota; Mollicutes; Mycoplasmatales; Mycoplasmataceae. The record is from RNAcentral.